This 216-nucleotide ribosomal RNA is filed under the name uncultured bacterium. RNAcentral's name for it is "partial 16S ribosomal RNA". It matches the Rfam family "Bacterial small subunit ribosomal RNA", at positions 118 to 351 of the family's 1533-position model. The record is from RNAcentral.
UGGGAACAUACCCUUUGGUUCGGAAUAACUCAGGGAAACUUGAGCUAAUACCGGAUAAGCGUGAGAGCGGAAAGAUUUAUCGCCGAAGGAUUGGCCCGCGUCCGAUUAGCUAGUUGGUGAGGUAAUGGCUCACCAAGGCGACGAUCGGUAGCUGGUCUGAGAGGGUGACCGGCCACACUGGGACUGAGACACGGCCCAGACUCCUACGGGAGGCAG